GCCUGGAUGGCUCAGUCGGUUAAGCUUCUGACUUCAGCUCAGGUCAUGAUCUCACGGUUCAUGGGUUCAAGCCCCACAUCAGGCU
This 85-nucleotide transfer RNA is filed under the name Felis catus (domestic cat). It matches the Rfam family "tRNA". From Rfam's summary of the family: Transfer RNA (tRNA) molecules are approximately 80 nucleotides in length. Their secondary structure includes four short double-helical elements and three loops (D, anti-codon, and T loops). The record is from Rfam by way of RNAcentral. Lineage: Eukaryota; Metazoa; Chordata; Mammalia; Carnivora; Felidae.